UAACUACGUGCCAGCAGCCGCGGUAAUACGUAGGGCGCAAGCGUUGUCCGGAAUUAUUGGGCGUAAAGAGCUCGUAGGUGCUGGUCGCGUCUGCCGUGAAAGCCCGCAGCUUAACUGCGGGUCUGCGGUGGAUACGGGCCGGCUAGAGGUAGGCAGGGGCAAGUGGAAUUCCUGGUGUAGCGGUGAAAUGCGCAGAUAUCAGGAGGAACACCGGUGGCGAAGGCGGCUUGCUGGGCCUUAUCUGACGCUGAGGAGCGAAAGCGUGGGGAGCGAACAGGAUUAGAUACCCUGGUAGUCCACGCUGUAAACGUUGGGCGCUAGGUGUGGGGGUCUUCCACGACUUCCGUGCCGGAGCUAACGCAUUAAGCGCCCCGCCUGGGGAGUACGGCCGCAAGGCUAAAACUCAAAGGAAUUGACGGGGGCCCGCACAAGCGGCGGAGCAUGUUGCUUAAUUCGACGCAACGCGAAGAACCUUACCAAGGUUUGACAUCACCCGGAAAGCUGCAGAGAUGUGGCCCUCUUCGGACUGGGUGACAGGUGGUGCAUGGCUGUCGUCAGCUCGUGUCGUGAGAUGUUGGGUUAAGUCCCGCAACGAGCGCAACCCUUGCUCCAUGUUGCCAGCAGCGGAUUCGUCCGGCUGGGGACUCAUGGGGGACUGCCGGGGUCAACUCGGAGGAAGGUGGGGAUGACGUCAAGUCAUCAUGCCCCUUAUGUCUUGGGCUGCAAACAUGCUACAAUGGCCGGUACAGAGGGUUGCGAUACCGUGAGGUGGAGCGAAUCCCUAAAAGCCGGUCUCAGUUCGGAUUGGGGUCUGCAACUCGACCCCAUGAAGUCGGAGUCGCUAGUAAUCGCAGAUCAGCAAUGCUGCGGUGAAUACGUUCCCGGGCCUUGUACACACCGCCCGUCACGUCACGAAAGUCGGCAACACCCGAAGCCCGUGGCCCAACCCGCAAGGGGGGGAGCGGUCGAAGGUGGGGCUGGA
RNAcentral lists this ribosomal RNA (982 nucleotides) under uncultured Actinomycetes bacterium. RNAcentral's name for it is "bacterial SSU rRNA". It matches the Rfam family "Bacterial small subunit ribosomal RNA", at positions 498 to 1472 of the family's 1533-position model. The record is from RNAcentral. Lineage: Bacteria; Bacillati; Actinomycetota; Actinomycetes.